This 409-nucleotide ribosomal RNA is filed under the name bacterium. RNAcentral describes it as "partial 16S ribosomal RNA". It matches the Rfam family "Bacterial small subunit ribosomal RNA", at positions 355 to 776 of the family's 1533-position model. The record is from RNAcentral.
UGGGGAAUAUUGCACAAUGGGCGAAAGCCUGAUGCAGCGACGCCGCGUGAGGGAUGACGGCCUUCGGGUUGUAAACCUUUUUCAGCAGGGACGAAGCGCAAGUGACGGUACCUGCAGAAGAAGCACCGGCUAACUACGUGCCAGCAGCCGCGGUAAUACGUAGGGUGCAAGCGUUGUCCGGAAUUACUGGGCGUAAAGAGUUCGUAGGCGGUUUGUCGCGUCGUUUGUGAAAGCCAGCAGCUCAACUGCUGGCUUGCAGUCGAUACGGGCAGACUUGAGUACUGCAGGGGGGACUGGAAUUCCUGGUGUAGCGGUGAAAUGCGCAGAUAUCAGGAGGAACACCGGUGGCGAAGGCGGGUCUCUGGGCAGUAACUGACGCUGAGGAACGAAAGCGUGGGUAGCGAACAGG